Long non-coding RNA from Mercenaria mercenaria, 1626 nucleotides. RefSeq lists it as uncharacterized. NCBI's taxonomy places the organism in Eukaryota, Metazoa, Mollusca, Bivalvia, Venerida, Veneridae. The record is from RefSeq and is a predicted model, not a curated record. The transcript has 2 exons.
UGUUCUCACUUCAGGUUUAGAUUUAUGGCAUAUACAUUGAAAGCAAACAACGUUUUCUUUAUACCGCCUCGGUAGCCUUGUGGUAGAGCGUCCGCUUCGAGUACCGGAGGUCGUGGGUUCAAUCCCCGGACGCGUCAUACCAAAGACGUAAAAAUGGUACUAGCAGCUUCCUCGCUUGGCGCUCAGCAUUAAGAGGGUAGUGCUGUAGUGCUAGGACUGGUCAGUCCGGUGUCAGUAUUAUGUGACUGGGUGGGGUAUCAUGCCACGUGUCUACGGCGAGAUAUUCCAGUGAGGCAGCACUGCAAAGUUGGGAAUUAUACUCACUGCUACAACUAGACACCGUCGUUUAUAUGACUGAAAAAUUGUUGAAAAAGACGUUAAACCCGAACACUCGCACACACGUUUUCCUUUCCAUUCUAUGUUUAAUUACUUCGAAAUGCGCAAUUUGCUACCAAUUUAAAUGUCAAAGCGGGAAACAGACACGCGUAAACGAGCAUUACGUCAGACUUUAAACGACGUUACAAAGACGUACACAACAGACAGUUCCAUUUUAUUUCAUUUUUUUUAAAGCAUUACAUUAUGAAAUCCUCGUUACGUAAAAUUAUUUGAAUAUGUAUAUUAUAUAAGGCACAAAGCGCAACUACAAUUUACAUCCCGAUUUACGCGGAAAAAAAACCAUUAAUACACAAUAUAACAGUAGACUGGCAACAGCAAUAUCACUCAUAGUGGGCGAUAUGGUUCCAUCUGAGAAAACAUAGUAUUUUAUCAAUUUGCUUAAAAUGAAAACAAUUUUCUUUAACGUACUUAAUUCAAUGUAAUGUUACAUCAGUCGUUUCUUUUACGCUACAGUUAUGGUGCCUUGAAAAAAGAAGGUACAGGUGGUGGCUUUGCAACGUUUGAGAAGGAUCCAUAUGACACCAUUCAAUACUUCUACGCAUGCUGCGAUGAAAAGACUGACAGACACUUAUGUCACCUUUUCUACGAAAUGAACCCGUCUGACGAUUGCUCCAGAUUCCAGCCUUCGGACGAGCCAGUUUGAAGAUACAGGCGGAGGCGGUAUACAGACACGAUAAAAGCAGGACUUGACAAUGAAAUACUUGGAAAGAAGGAUAUCUAAAGUUCAACGUCGUUGUAACUGGCAAAAAGACAUUUUAAUUCAGUAAAACAUAAACAAAAACAAACGCGCAAAAGAAUAUCACAAAUCAUUUUUAUGUCUUUGCAAACUACUUUUCAAGAUGACAUAUUAGUAUGGUUGUCUGUUUUUAUAGGGAAAGUUUCAGUAUCUGUAUAAAUAGAUUACCAAGACCGACUUUAUUUCAGUUAAAAUUAGUCAUUUCAUUUUAUUUUCAUAGAUAUUGUCUAGACUUUCAAUUACUGCGUUUUGUGUCGUGUUUUCUUUGUGUAUGUUUAUUAACUUUAGUAUGUAUUUGAAAUUGUUUCAGCACGCUGAGCUGAAGAAUUUAUCUUAAAGGCGUGAACCUUCUUUGUGAUUUGACUAUUUACAUGCAUUUUCCUAACUCAGCUAUAUUUUGAUUAAACAGGCACAUUUAUGUACAGUAGAUAUUAUUUUUACUUGUAUAUUAACAGCAUUAUAUUUCCAUAAUAAAUAACAUUUAUCAGCUGUCA